GCGCGGGGCCGCUGAGUCGCCGUCAAGGGGCUACUUCUAAAUUCUCCGCACUAGUAAGCCGUCUAAGAGGAACUUUUAAAAUAAUCGCUUCAAAAAAACUUUCAACAACGGAUCUCUUGGUUCUGGCAUCGAUGAAGAACGCAGCGAAAUGCGAUAAG
RNAcentral lists this ribosomal RNA (158 nucleotides) under Roccella tinctoria. RNAcentral describes it as "5.8S ribosomal RNA". The stretch from base 97 to 158 matches the Rfam family "5.8S ribosomal RNA", at positions 1 to 62 of the family's 154-position model. The record is from RNAcentral. Lineage: Eukaryota; Fungi; Ascomycota; Arthoniomycetes; Arthoniales; Roccellaceae.